AAGUCGUAACAAGGUUUCCGUAGGUGAACCUGCGGAAGGAUCAUUACCAAUUCGAUAGGUGCCUUGGGUUUUCGCGACCCCUGGCACUUUCAACCAACCCUUGAUUGUGAAUCUGUCCCUUCCAAGUCUUCCCGCGUGCGUGCGUGCGUGCGUGCGUGUUGAGGGUUUUUCGAAACCCCCACACACACACCGCCACACACACACACGGGGAGCAAUUUUAUCCAACCCCAUAAAAAUCAUUGCUCCCCCAUGGAUGAGCGGUGAAAAAAGCAAGCGUUGAGCUCCGAACAACAGUUGAAAAACAAAACAAUGUCGUAUACAACUUUUAACGGCGGAUCUCUUGGCUCGU
This 349-nucleotide unclassified non-coding RNA is filed under the name fungal sp. RNAcentral's name for it is "partial internal transcribed spacer region". The stretch from base 1 to 46 matches the Rfam family "Eukaryotic small subunit ribosomal RNA", at positions 1786 to 1831 of the family's 1831-position model. The record is from RNAcentral. Lineage: Eukaryota; Fungi.